RNAcentral lists this ribosomal RNA (556 nucleotides) under Escherichia coli. RNAcentral describes it as "partial 23S ribosomal RNA". It matches the Rfam family "Bacterial large subunit ribosomal RNA", at positions 685 to 1239 of the family's 2925-position model. The record is from RNAcentral. Lineage: Bacteria; Pseudomonadati; Pseudomonadota; Gammaproteobacteria; Enterobacterales; Enterobacteriaceae.
UAACUGGGCGUUAAGUUGCAGGGUAUAGACCCGAAACCCGGUGAUCUAGCCAUGGGCAGGUUGAAGGUUGGGUAACACUAACUGGAGGACCGAACCGACUAAUGUUGAAAAAUUAGCGGAUGACUUGUGGCUGGGGGUGAAAGGCCAAUCAAACCGGGAGAUAGCUGGUUCUCCCCGAAAGCUAUUUAGGUAGCGCCUCGUGAAUUCAUCUCCGGGGGUAGAGCACUGUUUCGGCAAGGGGGUCAUCCCGACUUACCAACCCGAUGCAAACUGCGAAUACCGGAGAAUGUUAUCACGGGAGACACACGGCGGGUGCUAACGUCCGUCGUGAAGAGGGAAACAACCCAGACCGCCAGCUAAGGUCCCAAAGUCAUGGUUAAGUGGGAAACGAUGUGGGAAGGCCCAGACAGCCAGGAUGUUGGCUUAGAAGCAGCCAUCAUUUAAAGAAAGCGUAAUAGCUCACUGGUCGAGUCGGCCUGCGCGGAAGAUGUAACGGGGCUAAACCAUGCACCGAAGCUGCGGCAGCGACACUGUGUGUUGUUGGGUAGGGGAGCGU